GGAUAACACUUAGAAAUAGGUGCUAAUACCGCAUAAGCGCACAGCUUCGCAUGAAGUGGUGUGAAAAACUCUGGUGGUAUACGAUGGUUCCGCGUCUGAUUAGCUUGUUGGUGGGGUAAUGGCUCACCAAGGCGACGAUCAGUAGCCGGCCUGAGAGGGUGAACGGCCACAUUGGGACUGAGACACGGCCCAAACUCCUACGGGAGGCAGCAGUGGGGAAUAUUGCACAAUGGGGGAAACCCUGAUGCAGCGACACCGCGUGAGUGAAGAAGUAUUUCGGUAUGUAAAGCUCUAUCAGCAGGGAAGAAAAUGACGGUACCUGAUUAAGAAGCCCCGGCUAACUACGUGCCAGCAGCCGCGGUAAUACGUAGGGGGCAAGCGUUAUCCGGAUUUACUGGGUGUAAAGGGAGCGUAGACGGCAGCGCAAGUCUGAAGUGAAAUGCCGGGGCUUAACCCCGGAACUGCUUUGGAAACUGUGCAGCUAGAGCGCAGGAGAGGUAAGUGGAAUUCCUAGUGUAGCGGUGAAAUGCGUAGAUAUUAGGAGGAACACCAGUGGCGAAGGCGGCUUGCUGGACUGUAACUGACGUUGAGGCUCGAAAGCGUGGGGAGCAAACAGGAUUAGAUACCCUGGUAGUCCACGCUGUAAACGAUGAUUACUAGGUGUUGGGGGACCAAGGUCCUUCGGU
This 686-nucleotide ribosomal RNA is filed under the name uncultured bacterium. RNAcentral describes it as "bacterial SSU rRNA". It matches the Rfam family "Bacterial small subunit ribosomal RNA", at positions 141 to 844 of the family's 1533-position model. The record is from RNAcentral.